AUCUAGCUGACAAGUCUUAAAUAGGAUGAAACGCACGUCCUGGAU
Molecule: non-coding RNA, 45 nt
Filed under: Schistosoma bovis
Lineage: Eukaryota; Metazoa; Platyhelminthes; Trematoda; Strigeidida; Schistosomatidae
Also listed under: 1 other name
Source: RNAcentral